Molecule: long non-coding RNA, 239 nt
Filed under: Mytilus galloprovincialis (Mediterranean mussel)
Lineage: Eukaryota; Metazoa; Mollusca; Bivalvia; Mytilida; Mytilidae
Source: RNAcentral
GUGUAUGAAAAAUCUAGGAUUUUUUUAAUUUCCCAUGUGUAAUAAUUCGUUACGAACUCAAAGAUGACGAAGGAGGGGACAUACUCUUUGUUUAUUAUUUCAUCGUAAUUGAGCUAUUAGAUUCUACCUACCUAAGAAUUGUAUUGCUAGAAAUAGCAAAACAUAUUCUUGAUCGUUGAUUAAUUGUUAGAGUAUCUGUCAAGCAGGCGUCAUUUAGAUAUAAAUAAAAUAUAAUUUAC